GUGCGGUGCGGACGCUUUUCCUUGCAGUUCAGGAGCAGACGCUGUUGUGCUUUUACUUCCUGUGCCAGAAGAGCCACCCUGGUGUGGGUAGGAGCUGAUAUUGCAUGGAGGCUUUGCAUUUCCCUGAUGACUAAUGAAGUUGAACAGCUUCCCGUAUGAGUCCUUGCCGUUUGGAUAUCCUCUUUUGUGAAAUGCCUGUUCAGCAUUUUUGUCUACUUAGUAAAAAAGGAGUUGUCUGUCUUUUUACUAA
Long non-coding RNA from Myotis davidii, 250 nucleotides. RefSeq lists it as uncharacterized. The transcript is spliced from 2 exons. Lineage: Eukaryota; Metazoa; Chordata; Mammalia; Chiroptera; Vespertilionidae. The record is from RefSeq and is a predicted model, not a curated record.